Molecule: transfer RNA, 72 nt
Filed under: Ictidomys tridecemlineatus (thirteen-lined ground squirrel)
Lineage: Eukaryota; Metazoa; Chordata; Mammalia; Rodentia; Sciuridae
Also listed under: 1 other name
Description: Spermophilus tridecemlineatus (thirteen-lined ground squirrel) tRNA
Rfam family: tRNA
About the family: Transfer RNA (tRNA) molecules are approximately 80 nucleotides in length. Their secondary structure includes four short double-helical elements and three loops (D, anti-codon, and T loops). Further hydrogen bonds mediate the characteristic L-shaped molecular structure. tRNAs have two regions of fundamental functional importance: the anti-codon, which is responsible for specific mRNA codon recognition, and the 3' end, to which the tRNAs corresponding amino acid is attached (by aminoacyl-tRNA synthetases). tRNAs cope with the degeneracy of the genetic code in two manners: having more than one tRNA (with a specific anti-codon) for a particular amino acid; and 'wobble' base-pairing, i.e. permitting non-standard base-pairing at the 3rd anti-codon position.
Source: Rfam by way of RNAcentral
GGCUGGGUAGCUCAUUGGUAGAGCACUUGCACAGCAUACAUGAAGCCCUGGGUUCGAACCCCAGCACUGUCA